GGUAGAGCACUGAAUGUCCUAGGGGGUAUUGCACUUACCGAAGACUAUCAAACUCCGAAUGCCGUAUUCUUUUGCUUGGGAGUCAGACUAUGGGUGAUAAGAUUCAUAGUCAAGAGGGCAACAGCCCAGAUCGUCAGCUAAGGUCCCUAAAUGUAAGUUAAGUGGUAAAGGAUGUGGAAUUGCACAGACAACCAGGAUGUUGGCUUAGAAGCAGCCACUCAUUUAAAGAGUGCGUAAUAGCUCACUGGUCGAGUGAUUCUGCGCCGAAAAUUUCCGGGGCUAAAACUUACUACCGAAGCUACGGCAUCAUUAUGAUGGGUAGGGGAGCUUUCUAUACGGGUUGAAGCAUGACCGUAAGGACAUGUGGACUGUAUAGAAGUGAGAAUGUUGGCAUGAGUAGCGAGAUGUGGGUGAGAAUCCCACAGGCCGUAAACCCAAGGUUUCCAGGGGAAGGUUCGUCCGCCCUGGGUUAGUCAGGACCUAAGCCGAGGCCGAAAGGCGUAGGUGAUGGACAACAGGUUGAUAUUCCUGUACCACCAAUAACCGUUUGAGAAAUGGGAUGACACAGUAGGAUAAGCUAACCGCACUGUUGGUUAUGUGCGGGCAAGUAUUGAGGCAGUUCCGAUAGGCAAAUCCGUCGGAAUAAUGCUGGGGUACGAUGCGGAGCGAAAUUAAGUAGCGAAGUAGCUGAUUUCACACUGUCGAGAAAAGUCUCUAUCGAGGUUAAAGGUGCCUGUACCGCAAACCGACACAGGUGGGUGAGGAGAGUAUCCUAAGGCCAGCGAGAGAACUGUUGUUAAGGAACUCGGCAAAAUGACCCCGUAACUUAGGGAGAAGGGGUGCCUUCGAAAGAAGGCCGCAGAGAAUAGGCCCAAGCGACUGUUUACCAAAAACAUAGGUUUCUGCUAAGUCGCAAGACGAUGUAUAGGAGCUGACGCCUGCCCGGUGCUGGAAGGUUAAGGGGAUCUGUUAGAGCAAUCGAAGCAGUGAACUUAAGCCCCAGUAAACGGCGGCCGUAACUAUAACGGUCCUAAGGUAGCGAAAUUCCUUGUCGGGUAAGUUCCGACCCGCACGAAAGGCGUAACGAUUUGGGCACUGUCUCAACAACAGACUCGGUGAAAUUGUAAUACCGGUGAAGAUGCCGGUUACCUGCGACAGGACGGAAAGACCCCAUGGAGCUUUACUGUAGCUUGACAUUGAGUCUCGGUGCUACAUGUACAGGAUAGGUGGGAGACUAUGAAGCAUGGACGUCAGUCUGUGUGGAGUCAUCCUUGGGAUACCACCCUUGUAGUACUGGGAUUCUAACCAGAGGCCAUGAAUCUGGUCUUGGGACACUGUCAGGUGGACAGUUUGACUGGGGCGGUCGCCUCCCAAAAAGUAACGGAGGCGCUCAAAGGUUCUCUCAGUACGGUCGGAAAUCGUACGAAGAGUGUAAAGGCAAAAGAGAGCUUGAUUGCAAGACAUACAGGUCGAGCAAGGACGAAAGUCGGACUUAGUGAUCCGGUGGUUCCGCAUGGAAGGGCCAUCGCUCAACGGAUAAAAGCUACCCUGGGGAUAACAGGCUGAUCUCCCCCAAGAGUCCACAUCGACGGGGAGGUUUGGCACCUCGAUGUCGGCUCAUCACAUCCUGGGGCUGUAGUAGGUCCCAAGGGUUGGGCUGUUCGCCCAUUAAAGUGGUACGCGAGCUGGGUUCAGAACGUCGUGAGACAGUUCGGUCCCUAUCCGUCGCAGGCGUAGGAAAUUUGAGGAGACCUGUCCUUAGUACGAGAGGACCGGGAUGGACGUACCGCUGGUGUACCAGUUGUU
Molecule: ribosomal RNA, 1806 nt
Filed under: human gut metagenome
Description: bacterial LSU rRNA
Rfam family: Bacterial large subunit ribosomal RNA
Source: RNAcentral